Molecule: non-coding RNA, 202 nt
Organism: Pelobates cultripes (western spadefoot toad)
Lineage: Eukaryota; Metazoa; Chordata; Amphibia; Anura; Pelobatidae
Source: the annotation of a GenBank genome assembly
UUAAUAAUGUGGAACAGCCUCCUUUAGUAGUUUUUCCUUAAAUUGGGCUCACCUGGCAAUCUAAUUAUCACAGGUGUCCGAGAUUGUUUUCAGUGAUCAAAAGAGACCUGAGACACAAUGCCAUCCAUGAGUUAAACUGAAAAACAAAAUAUUUAAUCUUUGUGACACUUAAAUAGAAUUUGCAUAAUAAUUUGGAACAGGG